This 366-nucleotide long non-coding RNA is filed under the name Felis catus (domestic cat). RNAcentral describes it as "lncRNA (ENSFCAG00000051019.1)". The record is from RNAcentral. Lineage: Eukaryota; Metazoa; Chordata; Mammalia; Carnivora; Felidae.
CAAAGACUAACCCUGCUCUCAUCCCACGGUGAGCUCUCCUUUGCAGGUGAGGGGCUUUGAAAUCUGCAAACUGACGAACUAGACCUGUUGUAACAACUCUUUAAAUAAAGAAGCUACCUCAUAUUCCACUCUCCAAAUAUGCCAGAACAUCAGAGUCCUGGGGUCACAGCUGUCUGCUGCUAUGUGCCUGAUUUGGUUGGCUCAGAGGCAUGGAGAAAGUGUUUGCUAUGUCGCCCAACUCCAGUCCACAGCAAAUGCAGCUGCUGUUUCUUCUGAAGCCAGAGUCAAGAGAGAGCAAGUCUACCUUGGUGAGGGUAUUUCAUUUUAAUUGGGUGUCUAUAGACACAGAUUUUGAAAUUUCUCAGA